RNAcentral lists this ribosomal RNA (802 nucleotides) under uncultured bacterium. RNAcentral's name for it is "bacterial SSU rRNA". It matches the Rfam family "Bacterial small subunit ribosomal RNA", at positions 8 to 796 of the family's 1533-position model. The record is from RNAcentral.
AGAGUUUGAUCCUGGCUCAGGACGAACGCUGGCGGCGUGCUUAACACAUGCAAGUGGUGCGACGAACCAGACUUCGGUCUGGGGCAAAGCCGCGAACGGGUGAGUAACACGUGAGUAAUCUGCCCCGAUGACCGGGACAACCCGAGGAAACUCGGGCUAAUACCGGAUGAUGAGCCUUGGCGUAAGCCUUGUCUCUAAAGGAAGCUUCGGCCUCCGCAUCGGGAGGAGCUCGCGGCCCAUUAGCUUGUUGGUGGGGUAAUGGCCUACCAAGGCAACGAUGGGUAGCUGGUCUGAGAGGACGAUCAGCCACACUGGAACUGAGACACGGUCCAGACUCCUACGGGAGGCAGCAGUGGGGAAUCUUGCGCAAUGCGCGAAAGCGUGACGCAGCAACGCCGCGUGGGGGAAGACGGCCUUCGGGUUGUAAACCCCUUUCAGGAGGGACGAAGGUUCACCGGUGAAUAGCCGUGUGGAUUGACGGUACCUCCACAAGAAGGUCCGGCUAACUACGUGCCAGCAGCCGCGGUAAUACGUAGGGACCAAGCGUUGUCCGGAAUCAUUGGGCGUAAAGCGCGCGUAGGUGGCUUCGUAAGUCCGUUGUGAAAGUCAAAGGCUCAACCUUUGAAAGCCGAUGGAUACUGCGGAGCUAGAGUACGGAAGAGGCGAGUGGAAUUCCUGGUGUAGCGGUGGAAUGCGCAGAUAUCAGGAGGAACACCAAUAGCGAAGGCAGCUCGCUGGGACGUUACUGACACUGAGGCGCGAAAGCGUGGGGAGCGAACAGGAUUAGAUACCCCUGUAGUCC